CAAAUGUGGAUCUGGAUUCCUACAAUACCAAUUUAGCUAAGUCUCCAGACGAAUCUGCUCCCUUUGACAGUGGGCAAUAUAAAUUCUCAUUCCAGCGGCUUCCACCAGUGUGCUCAGGUCUUUGAGCCCUAGGCAGGGGGGGAGGGGGGAGCCAGGCUGCCCAGUCUUAGGUUCUGCUUCCUCUGACCUCCCUGGCAAGGUCCCUCUGUGUCCCUUAGAGCAGCUCUCUCACUCCCCUGGGCAGAAUCGAGGGAGAGAAGAACCGAAUGUCAGCUCCAACAUUUACUGAAUGUGCAUUUUCUGAAACAUUUUGACAAGCUCUGAGCAGGCCUAGCCCAACCUACAUCUAUCUGCCUCCCCACUGAGGCCAUCUACCCCGAAUGUCUGCAAGUGACCAAAGCCCCCACCUCCAGCUGCCAUAAAUCCAUUUCAACCCCUGAUAUUAAAGAGGAUCUUGUGUGUUAACUGAAAGUUUUAAGAGAUGCUCUUUUCCCCUUUUGAGUGACUUGUAGAAUGUUAGAAAAGACUCUAAUCCUCAGUGAAUAACAUAGGAGGUUAUACAGUGUUAUUAUUGGGACCUGAAUGUUGACAUAGAGCAUACUGUCUGAUUGGAAAAUUUGGGAACUACGAUGUAAAUAUUUUUAACUUUAGGCCUUUGCUUGUCUUUAAGAAUAAGCACUGUGCUUUACUCUCCUGCAUGAGAAGGCCGAGAGAGGAGAAGGGGGCAGAGUCUGCUGAGAAGGCUGGCAUCUCAUUCACUGGGCAGUGAACACCUGCUAUGCUUCAGGAGCUCUUCCAGGAGCCCGGGGGACACAUCAACAAAGGGAAGGUGGCUCUCUGCCCUCGGGCUGGGAAGCAGACAAAGAUGGACAUGUCAUUCAGAAAUGGAGUAAACGGUACGUUCAAAGGGGAGAGAGCGAUGGACAAAAUGGGAAGUGGUGCCCAGUCGGGACACCAAGGAGAGAUGUGAAAUGAACAUAAGUCAAUGGCUAUGGCCAAGACAAUCAAGGAUAAGCCAAGGGAUGUGCCUCUGAAUCAAAACUGAAGUUUGAGACCAGUUGCAAAAUAAAUGAGUCCCAGGGAUGAAAUACACAGUGUGGGGAAUAGAGUCAGUAACUAUGUAACAUCUUUGUAUGGUGACACACAGACUUACUACCAGACUUACCAUGGUGAUCAUUUUGAAA
Molecule: long non-coding RNA, 1184 nt
Filed under: Sus scrofa (pig)
Lineage: Eukaryota; Metazoa; Chordata; Mammalia; Artiodactyla; Suidae
Description: lncRNA (ENSSSCG00025007443.1)
Source: RNAcentral